AAAAAGAAGAAAUCAAGAAAUACAUGUCAAAGUGCCGAUCGGAGUCUGCAGCCUCGCCGGAAGGGAUUUCGGAGUCGACAGUCGAUGAAGUACUCUCUCUCGCAGUCUCUCUCUCUCUCUCGUUCGCUACUCACAGUCGCUCGUUGAUUCUUUCUUCUCACUGUCACUCGUCGACUACUCUUCUACUGCAAAGCAAAGUUCGAUCUUCUCUGCGAAGAAGCAAAUCAAUUCGAUAGGGCAAGUUACCCAAUUCCAAGCGACGUCAUUUUUCCAUCUUUUUUUAACCUAGUGGGUUGAUCCAUACCCGAAGUAGACAAGUCGGUCGAUCUGUUGUCAAGUCGUCGAAGUAGACGUCAAGUCGUCCAAGGUGACGACUUCUUUUGGUAGGCGCUCGACUUUCGACCCAAACCCAAGUCGCUCGGUCGCCUUGCCUUCCCCAUACCGACUGGACACCUUAACGUCGUCUAACAACUAUGUAAGACAUGACUGUGUGGAUGAGCGCUCGUAAGUAAUAAAGUAAUAUAGUCAUUGUCUUUGUUGAAACUAAAGUAAUUUGGUGGAUUCCGGUUACAAAAGUCCUAGGCAGGGAUUGUUAUGGAGUAAUUCCAAGAAACGUUAUCAAGUUGUCGCCUAGUCGUCAACUAGGAGUCUGAGCGGUAGCAAGCAGU
This 668-nucleotide long non-coding RNA is filed under the name Panax ginseng (ginseng). RNAcentral's name for it is "long non-coding RNA (PGIN_LNC000908)". The record is from RNAcentral. Lineage: Eukaryota; Viridiplantae; Streptophyta; Magnoliopsida; Apiales; Araliaceae.